RNAcentral lists this transfer RNA (74 nucleotides) under Neisseria sicca. Its description in RNAcentral is "tRNA-Cys(gca)". It matches the Rfam family "tRNA". From Rfam's summary of the family: Transfer RNA (tRNA) molecules are approximately 80 nucleotides in length. Their secondary structure includes four short double-helical elements and three loops (D, anti-codon, and T loops). The record is from RNAcentral. RNAcentral also lists the same sequence under 8 other names. Lineage: Bacteria; Pseudomonadati; Pseudomonadota; Betaproteobacteria; Neisseriales; Neisseriaceae.
GGCGAGAUAGCAAAGUGGUAAUGCAGCGGAUUGCAAAUCCGUGGACGCCGGUUCGAUUCCGACUCUCGCCUCCA